AAAACAUAAGAAAGAAAUAUAUAAUUCUAUUAAUUU
Molecule: transfer RNA, 36 nt
Filed under: Himantopterus dohertyi
Lineage: Eukaryota; Metazoa; Arthropoda; Insecta; Lepidoptera; Himantopteridae
Description: partial transfer RNA-Ser
Source: RNAcentral